GACGAACGCUGGCGGCGUGCUUAACACAUGCAAGUCGAACGGAAAGGCCCUGCUUUUGUGGGGUGCUCGAGUGGCGAACGGGUGAGUAACACGUGAGUAACCUGCCCUUGACUUUGGGAUAACUUCAGGAAACUGGGGCUAAUACCGGAUAGGAGCUCCUGCUGCAUGGUGGGGGUUGGAAAGUUUCGGCGGUUGGGGAUGGACUCGCGGCUUAUCAGCUUGUUGGUGGGGUAGUGGCUUACCAAGGCUUUGACGGGUAGCCGGCCUGAGAGGGUGACCGGCCACAUUGGGACCGAGAUACGGCCCAGACUCCUACGGGAGGCAGCAGUGGGGAAUAUUGCACAAUGGGCGGAAGCCUGAUGCAGCAACGCCGCGUGCGGGAUGACGGCCUUCGGGUUGUAAACCGCUUUCGCCUGUGACGAAGCGUGAGUGACGGUAAUGGGUAAAAAAGCACCGGCUAACUACGUG
RNAcentral lists this ribosomal RNA (468 nucleotides) under uncultured bacterium. RNAcentral describes it as "partial 16S ribosomal RNA". It matches the Rfam family "Bacterial small subunit ribosomal RNA", at positions 28 to 507 of the family's 1533-position model. The record is from RNAcentral.